Molecule: ribosomal RNA, 253 nt
Filed under: uncultured bacterium
Lineage: Bacteria
Description: partial 16S ribosomal RNA
Rfam family: Bacterial small subunit ribosomal RNA
Source: RNAcentral
UACGUAGGGUGCGAGCGUUGUCCGGAAUUAUUGGGCGUAAAGAGCUCGUAGGCGGUUCGUUGCGUCGGCCGUGAAAACCUGCAGCUUAACUGUGGGCCUGCGGUCGAUACGGGCAGACUUGAGUUCGGUAGGGGAGACUGGAAUUCCUGGUGUAGCGGUGAAAUGCGCAGAUAUCAGGAGGAACACCGGUGGCGAAGGCGGGUCUCUGGGCCGAUACUGACGCUGAGGAGCGAAAGCGUGGGGAGCGAACAGG